GUGGGUGUAGUUCAGAGAUCGAGUACAUGCUUAGCAUGCACGAGGCUCUGGGUUCAAUCCCCAGCACCCAAA
Molecule: transfer RNA, 72 nt
Filed under: Ictidomys tridecemlineatus (thirteen-lined ground squirrel)
Lineage: Eukaryota; Metazoa; Chordata; Mammalia; Rodentia; Sciuridae
Description: Spermophilus tridecemlineatus (thirteen-lined ground squirrel) tRNA
Rfam family: tRNA
About the family: Transfer RNA (tRNA) molecules are approximately 80 nucleotides in length. Their secondary structure includes four short double-helical elements and three loops (D, anti-codon, and T loops).
Source: Rfam by way of RNAcentral